Non-coding RNA from Snodgrassella alvi SCGC AB-598-O11, 86 nucleotides. The record is from Rfam. Lineage: Bacteria; Pseudomonadati; Pseudomonadota; Betaproteobacteria; Neisseriales; Neisseriaceae.
UUCGAUGGUAGACAAUGGCAGGGAGGCUUUACGCCUGCCGGUUCUGAUUAACGGUCUUCCAGCCUUGCCAUUCUUCUACCGCCCGA